GACGAACGCUGGCGGCGUGCCUAAUACAUGCAAGUAGAACGCACAGUUUAUACCGUAGCUUGCUACACCAUAAACUGUGAGUUGCGAACGUGUGAGUAACGCGUAGGUAACCUGCCUGGUAGCGGGGGAUAACUAUUGUAAACGAUAGCUAAUACCGCAUAAUAUUGAUUAUUGCAUGAUAAUUGAUUGAAAGAUGCUAUUGCAUCACUACCAGAUGGACCUGCGUUGUAUUAGCUAGUAGGUGAGGUAACGGCUCACCUAGGCGACGAUACAUAGCCGACCUGAGAGGGUGAUCGGCCACACUGGGACUGAGACACGGCCCAGACUCCUACGGGAGGCAGCAGUAGGGAAUCUUCGGCAAUGGAGGAAAGUCUGAACGAGCAACGCCGCGUGAGUGAAGAAGGGUUUCGGAUCGUAAAGCUCUGUUGUAAGAGAAGAACGGGUGUGAGAGUGGAAAGUUCACACUGUGACGGUAUCUUAACAGAAAGGGACGGCUAACUACGUG
RNAcentral lists this ribosomal RNA (505 nucleotides) under uncultured bacterium. Its description in RNAcentral is "partial 16S ribosomal RNA". It matches the Rfam family "Bacterial small subunit ribosomal RNA", at positions 28 to 507 of the family's 1533-position model. The record is from RNAcentral.